Molecule: ribosomal RNA, 510 nt
Filed under: uncultured bacterium
Lineage: Bacteria
Description: partial 16S ribosomal RNA
Rfam family: Bacterial small subunit ribosomal RNA
Source: RNAcentral
AGUGAACGCUGGCGGUAGGCCUAACACAUGCAAGUCGAACGGCAGCACAGGAGAGCUUGCUCUCUGGGUGGCGAGUGGCGGGCGGGUGAGGAAUACAUCGGAAUCUACUCUGUCGUGGGGGAUAACGUAGGGAAACUUACGCUAAUACCGCAUACGUCCUACGGGUGAAAGCAGGGGACCUUCGGGCCUUGCGCGAUUGAAUGAGCCGAUGUCGGAUUAGCUAGUACAGUGGCGGGGUAAAGGCCCACCAAGGCGACGAUCCGUAGCUGGUCUGAGAGAAUGCGCAGCCACACUGGGACUCAGACACGGGCCAGACUCCUACGGGAGGCAGCAGUGGGGAAUAUUGGACAAUGGGCGCAAGCCUGAUCCAGCCAUACCGCGUGGGUGAAGAAGGCCUUCGGGUUGUAAAGCCCUUUUGUUGGGAAAGAAAUCCAGCUGGCUAAUACCCGGUUGGGAUGACGGUACCCAAAGAAUAAGCACCGGCUAACUUCGUGCCAGCCGCCGCCGUAA